GGGUUAGUAACGCGUGGGAAUAUACCCUUUGGUACGGAAUAGCCUCUGGAAACGGAGAGUAAUACCGUAUGUGCCCUUCGGGGGAAAGAUUUAUCGCCAAAGGAUUAGCCCGCGUUAGAUUAGGUAGUUGGUGGGGUAAUGGCCUACCAAGCCUACGAUCUAUAGCUGGUUUUAGAGGAUGAUCAGCAACACUGGGACUGAGACACGGCCCAGACUCCUACGGGAGGCAGCAGUGGGGAAUCUUGGACAAUGGGGGCAACCCUGAUCCAGCCAUGCCGCGUGAGUGAUGAAGGCCUUAGGGUCGUAAAGCUCUUUCGCCUGUGAAGAUAAUGACGGUAGCAGGUAAAGAAACCCCGGCUAACUCCGUGCCAGCAGCCGCGGUAAUACGGAGGGGGUUAGCGUUGUUCGGAAUUACUGGGCGUAAAGCGCACGUAGGCGGAUCGGAAAGUUGGGGGUGAAAUCCCGGGGCUCAACCCCGGAACUGCCUCCAAAACUAUCGGUCUAGAGUUCGAGAGAGGUGAGUGGAAUUCCGAGUGUAGAGGUGAAAUUCGUAGAUAUUCGGAGGAACACCAGUGGCGAAGGCGGCUCACUGGCUCGAUACUGACGCUGAGGUGCGAAAGUGUGGGGAGCAAACAGGAUUAGAUACCCCUGGUAGUCCACACCGUAAACGAUGAAUG
RNAcentral lists this ribosomal RNA (677 nucleotides) under Ruegeria sp. Its description in RNAcentral is "bacterial SSU rRNA". It matches the Rfam family "Bacterial small subunit ribosomal RNA", at positions 104 to 815 of the family's 1533-position model. Lineage: Bacteria; Pseudomonadati; Pseudomonadota; Alphaproteobacteria; Rhodobacterales; Roseobacteraceae. The record is from RNAcentral.